GCGAGAGUGGCGGAAUUUGGCAGACGCACUGGAUUUAGGAUCCAGCGGGCAACCGUGGGGGUUCGAUUCCCCCCUCUCGCACCA
RNAcentral lists this transfer RNA (84 nucleotides) under Deltaproteobacteria bacterium DG_8. RNAcentral's name for it is "tRNA-Leu". It matches the Rfam family "tRNA". From Rfam's summary of the family: Transfer RNA (tRNA) molecules are approximately 80 nucleotides in length. Their secondary structure includes four short double-helical elements and three loops (D, anti-codon, and T loops). Lineage: Bacteria; Deltaproteobacteria. The record is from RNAcentral. RNAcentral also lists the same sequence under 2 other names.